UUCUUUCUUGUUUAUCGAAGCAGCUCUGAGCCUUUUUAGCGUCCUGAAGCGCUUUGAGUAACGGAUGAAAGCUAUGGAGCCCCCAAAUACGCGCAAAUACCUAACCAUAAAAAUGUGGAUAAAACCUUGUAUGCAUCAACUACCUCUCUUUCAAGAUGGAAUUUUCAGAACACAUGGUCUGGGAUUGGAGCUGGAGCUUGGAAAUAUUGAGUGGGUGAGAAAGACUUCAUUGUUUUGUGACAGGUUAUUGUGAAAACAGCCCACUUCUGCCUGAAGAUCCAAGCCCAAGGCCUUCCUGGCCCCAGGGAUUUUGGGAUUCUUAAGAGCAAAAGAAGGAAAGAAAACAUGAGAGACUUUGGUACUGGGUACGAGCAUGAAAAGAGAAGGAUUGGUAAAAAAUAUCUCUUGGGAGCUCCUGCUGUGAUGCGAGGGUUAGUCCUGCCAUCCCAGGGCAAACUUCAUAAAAGAGGUCAGAUCCAAAGAUUGCAGAAGCCAGAAGAGACACUGCAUCCUUCCUGGUUAGGCCUGGUUAUGCCAGCUUCCUGGACUCUGCUGGCUGGUUGCCUCAAUCCAUGCCUCAGAUUGGGUGGAGUCUACAGAUUGAGGGCAAAUCCCACCUCCUCCCAACCCCCACCACUAGGCCUAUCUGGAAGACAGAAAAGAGCAGCAAGAAAUCUCAGGGAUUUUCUUUGAUUACUCAGAGGGAAAUAGUUUUCAUACUCAGAGACUGAUAGGCAGUCAAUAACAUUUGCUUUGUGAAUUUUCACCCAGCUACUUCUGGAUGAGAUAAUCACCUUUGCUGCUAAAGAAAAUCUUAGCUCAUUUUCUUCUUGGGGUGAUGGUAUAAGAGUUGAUAAACAAUUUGUAAGUAUUUAUCAUCUGGCAUAUUUAACAAAAUAUCUUUGUGAUCCAUAAAGCAAGGCAUAAAUUACAUUUGAAAGUGCAUUCCAUUAAACAAGAACAUUAGAGAGAAAGAGAGAGAGAGAGACACUUUGGACCUUGAUCUGUUCCAAUGACAUAGAAACUUGCUUUACAGAUUGGCUUUCUCCUAGUGCACUAUUGCAAAAUUAGAGCUAUACUAGAAACAUCCUUAGAGUUUGAUAAUUGAAUUACAGUGGAGAAAAAUAAGGUUUAUAUUUCUUAACUAUACCUUUGAAUUUCUUACUACUACAGAGGAUAAUUUUCCUGGUCCCUGGGGUUAGUGGUGAAAAACUAAUUGUUUUAUUAAAUUCAUGCCUCAUUCUUGUGACCCCAGAUUUUCGAAUUUGAAUAGGAAUGCAGUCAAGGGGUGAAUUCUGACAUCUUCAUUCUUUACUUAGCUCUUAAAAGCCAAGAUACUUUAUAUUACUUGUUUAUACUAAUCUUUGAUCACAAUAUAUUUACAUUGCUGGCAAGUAAAGUCUCUUAAUAAUAUAGCAGCAAAUAUUAGCUCUUCAUUCAAAAUUGUUAUUAUUCGGGAGUACUAUACAUGGUCUCUUACAUUAGGAUUUAUGAAAGUAGGAAUUAAUUAUGUUUAUUUAAUUCAAACAAGUGUUUUUCUCAAAGUAAUGAGUGUUAUGAAGGGAACUUAUUUGACCACAUACAACCCUGAGAUUCUUAUCUUUUUGGCAAAUAGCACUAACUGUGGAAAAGCUUAAGAUCAGUGGGGUUGUCGGUUUCCCCACACGUUGAGUUGAUGAUAGGUUAUAAUAAAAAUAUCAGACCAAAUUCUGCCACUUAUAUAGGCAUGUAUUAAACAUGUAUUUGUAAGCAAGUAUACAACAGUUCAUAGAAUAAGAUAAAAACCUAGCUCUCUGUCCUCUUUAGUGCUCUAAUGACUUCAAGCUGGCUCAACAAUAUUCCAGAGGCAAGAUUCUAUUACUCUUAUAGUUAGCAUCGGAAAUCCAAUGGAUGGACACUGGAUUCUUUGAGGAUCAAGCUUGAGGUGCCAAGCAUGGGAUGCAUUUCUGAAAUAUUUGAGUUUAAUCGUAUAUCUUGAAUACCACUUAUUAUUCCAGUGAGAUCUGAUUGAUGAUUAACUUAUUGAACAAGUCACUAAUUUUACCAAUGAAAAUAUAUUUCUGAUGUUUACUUUGCUAAUUAGCAAGACAUCUGGGUUUGGUAUACACAUCUGGUGAGAGAUGAAGGGCAGAAAUUGAGGCACAGAAACAAUAAGUGGUUUCCCUUAAGAUCAGAUAGCUAGUAAGUGUCUCAGCUUGUUUGUGCAUCCCACAGUGAGGAGCCUGUGUUUUUUUAAAUCUCUCUGGAUUAGUUGUGCUGGUAAGUUCUCUAGAAGCAACUUGACUCCACUGUUUUGAGGGCAGAAAUAAAAUGAACAGGCUAUAAUUGAGGUUGUAGAAGAGAUAAAAGAAAAUCUGUGAUGCAAGUAACUACACAGAGUCCUGUCUGUGAAAUGCAGGAGGCUGUCCAUAACUAAAGGCAUCUACCUUUAGAAAGGCAGUAUCAGAUUGUCACUUAUCUUGAUGGUCAUGAGAUAGGGAUGUUCUGGUUAAUAAAAUAUUCUAGUUAGUAGAGAUUCUCAGUAGACUCUAUACUCUAAUUUCUCAUUUAAAAGAAAUUGGACUCUUACAAAAUAAACAUGAUAUGAACCCAGAAUUUAACUUACUAUUUUCUUACUGUUAUCCCAAAGACAUUACAUGAUAUUGAACACUUUGAGGUAAUUAUGGUACUGGGGGAGCAUAAUUGUUCCUACUAAUAGAAACAAAAUACUAAGGAUUUUUCUAGAAACUCUUAAGAGCCAUUUACCUGGCUAAGGAUUUUUCUAGAAACUGUCCUUUCAAGAGCCAUUUACCUGGAAUAAAAGUGAUGUGUAUGAUAAACAGUUGGCUAUACAGACCCAAGAUGAAAUUCAAAAUAUGACUUCUGAAAAUUCUGAAUUCAAAAUCAAGUUUUUGAUACUUUAGGAUCAGCUAGAUGAUCAUCAUAAAUUUGUCUCCUUUCCACUUCAAUUUUUUUUCAUCUUCACCAAUCUACACUAUAUUCAAGCCAACUUACCAUUUCCCUUACUCCGUUUUCCCUGCAACUUCCCUAAGCUGUUAGUGUUAUUGUACUACUCUUCUUUAUGCCACUUAGGCUUGAAUUCUUGGCCCAAUUUCUCUCACUUCUGCAUGAAGUCACCAAAUGCCAGUGAUUCUGCUUCUAACAUAUUUCAGACAUCAUUUCUGUCCAUUCCCACUACCAGAAAGAAACUCUGUGUUAGUUUUUCUUUUACCUUUAUUGACUUUUUAUAAUAGCAUUUAUGGCGUGUUGAAUUGUGGCCCCCCAAAAAUAUGUCCAAGUCUUAACCCUGGUGCCUAUAAAUGUGACCUUAUUUGGGAAAAGAGUCUCACAGAUGAAAUUAAGUUAAAGAUCUUACCCUGGAUUAACCAGGUAGAUGCUAAAUCGAAUAAAAAAGUGUCUGUACAGGAAGAGAAGAGGAGAAUCACAGAGAAGAAAGCCAUGUGAAGAUGGUAACAGACACUGGAGUCUGUAACCCCAAGUGUAAUGCGACGGGUUCUCCACCAGGUUACUUAAGGGUGUAUGUCCACUGCUUGAGCCCUGAAGACUGGGUGGUGAGCCAAGGUCAUGGUGCUCAGCCAAGGAACACCAUGUGCUGUGUUCCCUGAGAACACAAACAUUUGGGAGAGUACCUGGGGACAUACCAAGAAAAACACUCAUCACACACAGAGAAGAAAAGCCAGAAAAUUAGCUUAAAAGCAGCUUGAAGAUGGGUGGGGUAAGGGGGUGUGUGGGGCAAAUCUCCAGAGUUGUCCUGCUACCACCUAGGAAUGCCCUGUAUGUUAAGUCCUAAUAAACUCACCUACUCAUCAAGUUGGAUUUGCCCAAGUCAUUCUAUAGUCUCUAGGCUCCUUCCCAGUUUGGGGGGUUGCAUUAGUCCAUUUUCACACUGCUAUAAAAAAAUACCUGAGACUGGGUAAUUUAUAAAGGAAAGAGGUUUAAUUGACUCACUGUUCCACAUGGCUGGGGAGGCCUCAGGAAACUUACAAUCAUGGUGGAACGUGAAGGGGAAG
Molecule: long non-coding RNA, 4010 nt
Filed under: Homo sapiens (human)
Lineage: Eukaryota; Metazoa; Chordata; Mammalia; Primates; Hominidae
Description: HSALNT0308639
Source: RNAcentral